This 670-nucleotide long non-coding RNA is filed under the name Salmo salar (Atlantic salmon). RNAcentral's name for it is "lncRNA (ENSSSAG00000090751.1)". The record is from RNAcentral. Lineage: Eukaryota; Metazoa; Chordata; Actinopteri; Salmoniformes; Salmonidae.
CUGUAUAUAUUAUCCUUGCAAAGCAUCAUGGUAUUAAAAUGGCUGAACUGAGAAAAUGUUCAAACUGCCAAUAAACCUCUUGCUGUAUUUCCCAUCUUUAUGUCAGAGCAUCAGAAACAUUUAGGAUUUCUUUACUCCUGGGGCCAAGUCCCAAAUGUAGUGGUCUAUAUAGGGAAUAGCAGAACAGCAACUUGUUUUAACCGUCUAACCAACAUCUUCCAUCACAAGUGUUAAACCCCACUUCCCUUCUCUACAUCAGAGUCCGAUGCUGGUAGACCAGAGAAUCUAGCUACCCCACUUCCCUUCUCUACCAUCAGAGACCGAUGCUGGUAGACCAGAGAACAGAAGACCUCUGUUAUCAAUGUAACAUCCCAGGACAGGCUGACCCAGACAUGUGUACAUCAGGAAGCUCUGACAUCAUAUCCUCCCUCCUCUACAUCAGGAAGCUCUGACAUCAUAUCCUCCCUCUCUACAUCAGGAAGCUCUGACAUCAUAUCCUCCCUCCUCUACAUCAGGAAGCUCUGACAUCAUAUCCUCCCUCCUCUACAUCAGGAAGCUCUGACAUCAUAUCCUCCCUCUUGUUGCUCCGUUAUAUCCUGAUAUAGGAACUGCAGCACCAACCUUAUUCACGACGUCGCUCCGCUCAAAACGUCCAGACCACACAAACACA